This 453-nucleotide ribosomal RNA is filed under the name uncultured soil bacterium. RNAcentral's name for it is "bacterial SSU rRNA". It matches the Rfam family "Bacterial small subunit ribosomal RNA", at positions 26 to 518 of the family's 1533-position model. The record is from RNAcentral.
AGAGCGAACGCUGGCGGCAGGCCUAACACAUGCAAGUCGAACGGACCCUUCGGGGUUAGUGGCGGACGGGUGAGUAACACGUGGGAACGUGCCUUUAGGUUCGGAAUAGCUCCUGGAAACGGGUGGUAAUGCCGAAUGUGCCCUUCGGGGGAAAGAUUUAUCGCCUUUAGAGCGGCCCGCGUCUGAUUAGCUUGUUGGUGGGUAAUGGCCCACCAAGGCUACGAUCAGUAGCUGGUCUGAGAGGAUGACCAGCCACAUUGGGACUGAGACACGGCCCAAACUCCUACGGGAGGCAGCAGUGGGGAAUCGUUGCGCAAUAGGACGAAACGCCUAGGACGCAGCCAUCGCCGCGUGUAUGAUGGAAGGUCUUAGGAUUAGUAAAUACUUCAACGUGAAGAUAAUGACUGUAGACGGAGAAGAACGACCCGGCUAACUUCGUGCCAGCCAGCCGAC